CGGGUGAGUAACAGUAUGCAACCUGCCUGCCACAGCGGAUAAUCGGGAGAAAUUCCGUCUAAUACGGCAUAAUGCAUCGACGGGACAUCCUGUUGGUGCCAAAGGUUUAAUUCCGGUGGCGGAUGGGCAUGCGUCGCAUUAGUUAGUUGGCGGUGUAACGGACCACCAAGACGACGAUGCGUAGGGGUUCUNAGAGGAAGGUCCCCCACAUGGUACUGAGACACGGACCAGACUCCUACGGGAGGCAGCAG
This 251-nucleotide ribosomal RNA is filed under the name uncultured bacterium. RNAcentral describes it as "partial 16S ribosomal RNA". It matches the Rfam family "Bacterial small subunit ribosomal RNA", at positions 103 to 354 of the family's 1533-position model. The record is from RNAcentral.